AUAAUGUAAGUUCAUAAUGUGUUGUCUCAACAGAUUAAGCCAUGCAUGUCUUAAGUUUAAGCAUUUUAUACAGCGAAACUGCGAAUGGCUCAUUAUAUAAGUUAUCGUUUAUUUGAUAGUACGUUACUACUUGGAUAACCGUGGUAAUUCUAGAGCUAAUACAUGCUAAAAAUCCCGACUUCGGAAGGGAUGUAUUUAUUAGAUUAAAAACCAAUGCCCCUCGGGGCUCUCUGGUGAUUCAUAAUAACUUCUCGAAUCGCACGGCCCUUGCGCCGGCGAUGGUUCAUUCAAAUUUCUUCCCUAUCAACUUUCGAUGUUUGGGUAGUGGCCAAACAUGGUUGCAACGGGUAACGGAGGGUUAGGGCUCGACCCCGGAGAAGGAGCCUGAGAAACGGCUACUACAUCCAAGGAAGGCAGCAGGCGCGCAAAUUACCCAAUCCCGAUUCGGGGAGGUAGUGACAAUAAAUACUGAUACAGGGCUCUUUCGGGUCUUGUAAUUGGAAUGAGUACAAUUUAAAUCCCUUAACGAGGAACAAUUGGAGGGCAAGUCUGGUGCCAGCAGCCGCGGUAAUUCCAGCUCCAAUAGCGUAUAUUAAAGUUGUUGUGGUUAAAAAGCUCGUAGUUGAACCUUGGGCCUGGCUGGCCGGUCCGCCUCACCGCGUGUCACUGGUCCGGCCGGGUCUUUCCCUCUGUGGAACCACAUGCCCUUCACUGGGCGUGGCGGGGAAACAGGACUUUUACUUUGAAAAAAUUAGAGUGCUCCAGGCAGGCCUAUGCUCGAAUACAUUAGCAUGGAAUAAUGAAAUAGGACGUGCGGUUCUAUUUUGUUGGUUUCUAGGACCGCCGUAAUGAUUAAUAGGGACAGUCGGGGGCAUCAGUAUUCAAUUGUCAGAGGUGAAAUUCUUGGAUUUAUUGAAGACUAACUACUGCGAAAGCAUUUGCCAAGGAUGUUUUCAUUAAUCAGGAACGAAAGUUAGGGGAUCGAAGACGAUCAGAUACCGUCGUAGUCUUAACCAUAAACUAUGCCGACUAGGGAUCGGACGAUGUUAUUUAGUUGACUCGUUCGGCACCUUACGAGAAAUCAAAGUGCUUGGGCUCCAAGGGGGAUUAUGGUUCCUUGCCAAGGCCUGAAACUUAAGAAAUAUGUGAACGGAAGGAA
RNAcentral lists this ribosomal RNA (1159 nucleotides) under Metarhizium sp. 1 AM-2020a. RNAcentral's name for it is "SSU rRNA". It matches the Rfam family "Eukaryotic small subunit ribosomal RNA", at positions 1 to 1165 of the family's 1831-position model. Lineage: Eukaryota; Fungi; Ascomycota; Sordariomycetes; Hypocreales; Clavicipitaceae. The record is from RNAcentral.